This is a long non-coding RNA of Planococcus citri (citrus mealybug), 625 nucleotides long. RefSeq lists it as uncharacterized. The record is from RefSeq and is a predicted model, not a curated record. NCBI's taxonomy places the organism in Eukaryota, Metazoa, Arthropoda, Insecta, Hemiptera, Pseudococcidae. The transcript has 2 exons.
UCAAAUAAGGCACCUAUUUUUUUACUAGCCGAGAAAAAGUUCGACUCGCAUUGAACUUCGCUCCUAAAUGAAUUGGAACGUGACGAAAAUUAAAAGUACAGUAGUGGAAUUACCUCUUUAAAAAAUGCAUAAACUCGGACUCAUUCAGUACUAAGUAUAGUUAUGUACCAACUCGCAUUUACGUGGAAGUGUUGAUUAAUCUUUUAAAAAACAAUCGAAUAAUUCAACAAAACAUGAAAAUAGCACAAUUGUCAUUCAUUCAUAUUUUCGCAUUCGUCCUGUUGAUUGAACUACUCGACAAUGUAGUCGAAUCCGGAAAAAUCGCGAACUGUUAUGAUGCGCUCGAGCAGUAUAUAAGUCAAGAUGCCUGUUGGUUGUGGUGCCCGAGAUAUUGCAUACCUUCAUGUAACUUUUAUGAAUGCUCAUUUGAUGGGUCUUGUUUAUGUGAUAUAGAACGUUGGAGGGAAUACCAUAAUUAUGGAUGAGUGGGAGGAACAGGAGGAGGAGAAGGAGGAGGAGGAGGAGGAGGAGGAGAUCCAUCAUUGGUGAAAAGAUGAAACCUUCGGAUUGAAAUAUGCACGUGGUGUUUUGUUUAAUUCAAAAUAAACGAUUGAUGAAAUUAAAA